RNAcentral lists this ribosomal RNA (253 nucleotides) under uncultured bacterium. RNAcentral's name for it is "partial 16S ribosomal RNA". It matches the Rfam family "Bacterial small subunit ribosomal RNA", at positions 524 to 776 of the family's 1533-position model. The record is from RNAcentral.
UACGUAGGCAGCGAGCGUUGUUCGGAGUUACUGGGCGUAAAGAGUGCGUAGGCGGUUUCGUAAGUCGGGUGUGAAAGCCCCCGGCUCAACCGGGGAAUUGCGCCCUAAACUGCGAGGCUGGAGUGAGGUAGGGGUGUGUGGAACUUCUAGUGGAGCGGUGAAAUGUGUUGAUAUUAGAAGGAACGCCGGUGGCGAAAGCGACACACUGGUCCUUGUCUGACGCUGAGGCACGAAAGCCAGGGGAGCAAACGGG